GAUGAAGAACGUAGCGAAAUGCGAUAAGUAAUGUGAAUUGCAGAAUUCAGUGAAUCAUCGAAUCUUUGAACGCACAUUGCGCCCGCCAGUAUUCUGGCGGGCAUGCCUGUUCGAGCGUCAUUUCAACCAUCAAGCCCCCGGCUUGUGUUGGGGACCUGCGGCUGCCGCAGGCCCUGAAAACCAGUGGCGGGCUCGCUGUCACACCGAGCGUAGUAGAUUUUCAUCUCGCUCAGGGCGUGCUGCGGGUUCCGGCCGUAAAAAGCCUUAUUUACCCAAGGUUGACCUCGGAUCAGGUAGGAAGACCCGCUGAACUUAAGCAUAUCAAAAGCGAGGA
Molecule: unclassified non-coding RNA, 334 nt
Filed under: soil metagenome
Description: partial contains 5.8S ribosomal RNA, internal transcribed spacer 2, and large subunit ribosomal RNA
Rfam family: 5.8S ribosomal RNA (bases 1-120)
Source: RNAcentral